Molecule: ribosomal RNA, 374 nt
Filed under: uncultured organism
Description: bacterial SSU rRNA
Rfam family: Bacterial small subunit ribosomal RNA
Source: RNAcentral
CGGGGGUUGGCAAGCGUUGUUCGGAGUAACUGGGCGUAAAGCGAGCGCAGGCGGUUCGAUCAGUCUGAAGUGAAAUCCCGGGGCUCAACCCCGGACCUGCUUUGGAUACUGUCGAGCUAGAGUACGUGAUAGGAAGGUAGAAUUCCAGGUGUAGCGGUGAAAUGCGUAGAUAUCUGGAGGAAUACCGGUGGCGAAAGCGGCCUUCUGGCACGAUACUGACGCUGAGGCUCGAAAGCGUGGGGAGCAAACGGGAUUAGAUACCCCGGUAGUCCACGCCGUAAACGUUGUGCACUAGGUGUAGGAGGUAUUUGACCCCUUCUGUGCCGCAGCUAACGCAUUAAGUGCACCGCCUGGGGAGUACGGUCGCAAGACUG